Molecule: unclassified non-coding RNA, 310 nt
Filed under: Clitopilus sp.
Lineage: Eukaryota; Fungi; Basidiomycota; Agaricomycetes; Agaricales; Entolomataceae
Description: partial internal transcribed spacer region
Rfam family: Eukaryotic small subunit ribosomal RNA (bases 1-46)
Source: RNAcentral
AAGUCGUAACAAGGUUUCCGUAGGUGAACCUGCGGAAGGAUCAUUAAUGAAUAAAUUUGGUCGAGCUGUUGCUGGCCCUUCGGGGCAUGUGCACGCUUGCCACCAAUUUUAUAACCACCUGUGCACCUUUGUAGACUAGAAACAAUUCUCGAGGCAACUCGGAUUGAGAACUGCGGUGUUCAAAGCCAGCUGUUCUUGUGUUUCUCAGUCUAUGUUUUCAUAUACUCCAUUGUAUGUAUCAGAAUGUAUUGUUAGGCCUUUAGUGCCUUUAAAUCAAAUACAACUUUCAACAACGGAUCUCUUGGCUCUC